This 379-nucleotide ribosomal RNA is filed under the name uncultured bacterium. RNAcentral describes it as "bacterial SSU rRNA". It matches the Rfam family "Bacterial small subunit ribosomal RNA", at positions 28 to 399 of the family's 1533-position model. The record is from RNAcentral.
GACGAACGCUGGCGGCGUGCUUAACACAUGCAAGUGGAGCGACGAACCGGGGGCUUGCCCCGGGGCAGAGCCGCGAACGGGUGAGUAACACGUGGGUAACCCACCCCGAUGACCGGGACAACCCGAGGAAACUCGGGCUAAUACCGGAUGUGCUCCUUGACCUCGAGGUCAAGGCGUAAAGAUAGCUUCGGCCUUCGCAUCGGGACGGGCCCGCGGCCCAUUAGCUUGUUGGUGGGGUAAAGGCCUACCAAGGCGACGAGGGGUAGCUGGUCUGAGAGGACGAUCAGCCACACUGGGACUGAGACACGGCCCAGACUCCUACGGGAGGCAGCAGUGGGGAAUCUUGCGCAAUGCGCGAAAGCGUGACGCAGCAACGCCG